RNAcentral lists this ribosomal RNA (324 nucleotides) under uncultured Desulfobacter sp. RNAcentral describes it as "bacterial SSU rRNA". It matches the Rfam family "Bacterial small subunit ribosomal RNA", at positions 29 to 334 of the family's 1533-position model. The record is from RNAcentral. Lineage: Bacteria; Pseudomonadati; Thermodesulfobacteriota; Desulfobacteria; Desulfobacterales; Desulfobacteraceae.
AAUGAACGCUGGCGGCGUGCUUAACACAUGCAAGUCGAACGAGAAAGGGAUUGCUUGCAAUCCUGAGUAGAGUGGCGCACGGGUGAGUAACACGUAGAUAAUCUACCUCCAAGCCUGGAAUAACUAUUCGAAAGGGUAGCUAAUACCGGAUGAAGUUGUCAGGCCUAAGUCUGAUAAUGAAAGAUUGCCUCUCCCUGGAAGCAAUUGUUUGGAGAUGAGUCUGCGGACCAUUAGUUUGUUGGUGGGGUAAAGGCCUACCAAGACUACGAUGGUUAGCUGGUCUGAGAGGAUGAUCAGCCACACUGGAACUGGAACACGGUCCAG